RNAcentral lists this ribosomal RNA (723 nucleotides) under uncultured bacterium. RNAcentral describes it as "bacterial SSU rRNA". It matches the Rfam family "Bacterial small subunit ribosomal RNA", at positions 50 to 795 of the family's 1533-position model. The record is from RNAcentral.
AACACUUAUGAUGAUCCUUCGGGUGAUUCAUUUGUGACUGAUCGGCGGACGGGUGAGUAACGCGUGAGUAACCUGCCUCAUACAGGGGAAUAACAGUUAGAAAUGACUGCUAAUGCCGCAUAAGCGCACAGGGCCGCAUGGCCCGGUGUGAAAAACUCCGGUGGUAUGAGAUGGACUCGCGUCUGAUUAGCUAGUUGGUGAGGUAACGGCCCACCAAGGCGACGAUCAGUAGCCGGCCUGAGAGGGUGAACGGCCACAUUGGGACUGAGACACGGCCCAAACUCCUACGGGAGGCAGCAGUGGGGAAUAUUGCACAAUGGGGGAAACCCUGAUGCAGCGACGCCGCGUGAGUGAAGAAGUAUUUCGGUAUGUAAAGCUCUAUCAGCAGGGAAGAAAAUGACGGUACCUGACUAAGAAGCCCCGGCUAACUACGUGCCAGCAGCCGCGGUAAUACGUAGGGGGCAAGCGUUAUCCGGAUUUACUGGGUGUAAAGGGAGCGUAGACGGCUUUGCAAGUCUGACGUGAAACUCCGGGGCUCAACUCCGGAACUGCGUUGGAAACUGUAAGGCUUGAGUGCUGGAGAGGUAAGCGGAAUUCCUAGUGUAGCGGUGAAAUGCGUAGAUAUUAGGAGGAACACCAGUGGCGAAGGCGGCUUACUGGACGGCAACUGACGUUGAGGCUCGAAAGCGUGGGGAGCAAACAGGAUUAGAUACCCUGGUAGUC